Molecule: long non-coding RNA, 5606 nt
Filed under: Homo sapiens (human)
Lineage: Eukaryota; Metazoa; Chordata; Mammalia; Primates; Hominidae
Description: PREDICTED lncRNA (TCONS_00201625)
Source: RNAcentral
GGAUAGAUUACUUUAGGCUGAGUGAGGUGGCUUUUGAGUUCCUACUAGAAGGGUGUGUAGGAUUGUGACUAGAAGAGAGAGGAAGGUCUGGAUGGAGCAACAAGAGUCUGGGCUAUUAACACAGGUUUGAGUCAGGCUGACCGGAGCUGUAAAGCCCUUCUCGUUCUCACUGUGUGUUCUUUUCAGUUCUGUCUUCCUGAGGCUGCUGUUUCUGGGCAUGGCCAGGGGAUCUUCAGACUUUACAAACCAGUUGUGCAGAGCCAGGCAUUUCAAUAAGGAACAAAAUGCUGAGUAACAACAUGAAGUCAGAGUGUUGCUUGCCAAGAGCUGGGAGGCCUGGGUGGUUUCCCAAUCUUAAAGAAGCAGAAGGAUAUUAAAGUGAGCCUCCCAAAGGAAAACGUGGAUCUACUUACCAACGCAGAAAAUGAUACACACGGAUUCGAUUUAGGCACGCUACAUUCAAAUGACUUGGAAGAGCAGGUUCUCUGAGCCAGGAUACUAAAGUCCCUGUUUAGGAAAGAGCCACGUUGUAUGUUUACCCUACCACAAAGAUACAGUCAUGUGCCUGGGAAAGAUUGAUGCCAGCUCCAGAAAGGCAUCCGAAUGGUCUAAGUAAUGCCAUCCAUCUGUCAGUAAUAGAUUCAGAAAUGGAAUUCUGGAGGAAAGUGGCUCUGGGAAUUGAACAGUGGCUCAGUGAUGUUGGGGCCACCAAGUCUGCAAUUCUCCCUACCUGUUCUUCAUGGUUGUAAGAUGACUGCUGCAAUUCUCGGCAUCAUGUGCAUGUUAAUGUCAGGAGGAAGAAAGGAAGAGGGAGCACUGGGAUGUUACAUUCAUUUUGUCAGGAAAAGCAAAGCCUUUCCAGACAGCUCCGAAACUUGCUUACCUCUCAUUGGCCAGCACCAUCACUUGACCACUUGUCCACUCCUAGCUGCAAGGAAAGUGGCAAAGUAGAAGGUAUUUGAGAAUGUCUGCUGGGUUAGCCAAAACAAUAGUGACUUCUACACCCAAUUUUCUGGGCACUGCAGAAGUAUCCUUGAGUCCUAUGUGAUCAGAGGGAGAGCAAACCUCAAUAAUGAAACAGAUUCAAUUUCCAUCACCCAGUGAGACACCAUGGGAUUAGAAUAAAUUUUUAAAAAAACAAAUUGAAAAAAAUGCAUUUUUAAAACAACAAAAUCAGAAAGGAUGAAAGGUGAUAUUUCUAGCAUAUCAGUUUGUGGUGGUAAAUUAAUUACCUUAUACAAAGGCCUCAGUGACUUUCUUCUCCUUACCUAACGAAUCAUCUUUAAAAUAAGUAAAAUAAAGAAACAAGAGCAGCAGCAGAUGCUUCCUAAAAAGAAGUUACCAAAUCUGUUCACCACAAACCUGAGAAUUCAACUGUGGACAUUUGGACACCAGCAAUGAACAUGAAACUCAGCUUAUGAGGCAUAUUUGGCUAAAGGUCAAGGUGACUUAAAGUUCAUCAUAGGACAUCUACAAUUUGCAAAGCAGGUGACUGGAUAUGGACUCCUUCCAAGUCUCAUUUAAUUGGAUAAUGCCUACGUUUUAAGUAUCAGAAGUGAGUCUUUCUCUAUUAAAUGAAGUCAGUUCCACUAAAACCUAAAUCUUGUUUGGCAGGCACUCCAUGUUUCUUAAUUUUUAUUCCAUGCUGUAUAUUCUUUUAGACUUGAUUUUCACUUUUUUUUCUUUUUUCCUGUACAUUUAUCUUUGCUGUGAAACAAAGUGCCCUGCUUUGAAGGACAGGUUUGUGGGCUGCUGGUGGUGAGACAACAGCAGUCCUUCCAAGUCUUCCUCCCAUCACUCUGUUAGCUCUCCCUUUGUUUUUAAUUAGCAUUACACCAGUUAAUUCUGUUAUCUCUUAACCCUGGUUCUGCAUCCUCUUCUUCUUUUCUAUUCCUUACUCCGCUCCUGUUUUUUCUUGUUCUGCUUUUCCAAGAAAUGUCUUGUCUCCUCAUCAGUUGACUGUCUUCUCUUUCCAGAGGGACCAUAAAGGUGCCAGCCUAAGGAACACGUAAAACGUGGGAACAGACAAACAAGCUGCUGCCUAUUACAGAGAUAGAUAAUUAACUUUGGACCAUUACAUGCAAUUCAUCAGCUUAUCUUUUUCAAACUUUAUAUAAGAAGUCAUUUCCCAAUGGUAACCACUUGCCAGCUGCAACUUUGACGCAUAUUAUCAGGAUAGGUGAGAUUGAUGGGGGCCCUUUGAACUCUUCCCAGGGAAUUAUCUUUAUAAUGUUACAGUUUUCUCUAUAGCAUGGUCAUAUUGUUAACAUUGGUUAUAAGGUCAUAUGGUUAGUAUGGUUAGUAUUGGUGGCUCACAGCUGUAAUACCAGCACUUUGGGAGGCCAAGGUGGGAGGAUCACUUGAGCCCUGGUGUUCAAAACCAGCUCUGGAAACAUAGCAAGACCUUGUCUCUACAAAAAAAAAUUAAAUAAAUUAAAAGAUUAGCUGGGCAUGGUGGCACAUGCCUGUAGUCCUCACUACUUGGGAAACUAAGGUGGGAGGAUCCUUUGAGCUUGGGAGGUUGAGGCUGCAGUGAGCUGUGGUUGUGCCAUGGCACUCCAGCCUGGGUGACAGAGUGAGAGCCUGUCUCAAAAAAAAAAAAAAAAAAAAAAAAAAGUACCUGUAAGGUCUUUGGGAUUUUGAAGAUGAAAGGUGUUGCAUAAAUUGAAUGAAUUCACUUAGAGAGAUAGAAGGCAACUACAGGGAAUAUUACGUACAUCAUGGAGCGGAAAGCACUAAGGCCUGUGGAAUUAUUCUCAGUGACACGUCGUUGAGGGCAGUGGUCCACAUGUUUUGAACAUGGUUUCUCCCAGGUGAAAAGGAUGAGUAAUUUGUUCUCCUUCACAUGUGUGUAUGUAGGUCUUAUACACAGCAGAUUUGCCACAAAACAAAUGAAGAUUACACUUUGGGCCCCUCUCUCACAUGAGCCCCUUCCAAAGUUCUGUUUGCUAAUUUUACAUUUUGUAAUUUCUUAUUAUUUUUCUUAAAGAAGCCUCCUCCAAUUGCAUAAACUUCAAGCCUCACAAAAUUUGGAUCCAUACCUGAGCCAACAUACAAUACAAUUUUCCAUUUCUAACUUUUAGUUGUACCUAGUGUUUUAUUGGAAAUGAUCAAGUACAUGAGUGGUGUCUUUUUAAAAAAUUUACUUUAUUUGCUUCUCUAGCUUCAUCGUUAGUUAGGCAGUUAAAUCUAACCAUUUGGAGGUAUUUUCAUAUAACCUCCAUUGAGGACAAUUUGGCAAUAGCUUUUAAAAUUAUAAAUAUAUUUGUACAGUUAUAAGCUGCCAUAUCUAUAAAACUAUUUGAUAGACAAAAGUUGAAAACCCUCCAAGAGCUCAUCAAUAAAAGAUUAAAUUAAUUAUGAUACAUCCAUAUGAGCACUGAGCAGCUGUGAAAAAAAUGAGGAAGUAAUUCCUGUGCUGAUAUGGGAAGACUUCCAAGACAUGUUGUUAAGUACAGAAUGGUGUAUACAGUAUGCUAUAUAGUGUGGUAAAAGGUUUAGGGAUAAGCAUUUAUAUUUAUAACUGUUUAUAUUUACAUAAAGUAAUUCUGAAAGGAUACAAAAAAGCUAACAAAAGAGAUUACCUGUGGUAGUGUGGGGCUUGGGGAUUGGAUGGGUGAGAAACAGUAGUGGAAAUGAGAUAUUGUACAGUUUAAGGCAUUAUACACCUAUAAAAACAUGGGAAUGUAUUACCUACUCAAAAAGUGAAAUUAAGAGAGAUACAAGAAACUGUUUGGAUGUUCCUUCCCGUUUCAAUGUAUCUAUAUUUUUUCAGCCCUCAAAGUUAUUAUAAAUGUCAUUAUAAUAACUUCAUAAAGCUUCCCCUAUAAUGAGAAUCUUACCAUUCUCCUAACUCCAAUAGCACUGUAAUCCACCUCUGUUAGGACACAUCACUCUUCAUCAUGUGUGAUUAUUAUUUGCAGAUAUCAUCUUCAAGGCUCUUCUCUAUUUACCACCUGCCAUUCUUGUUCUCACCUCUACAUGACCUUCACAUUUUAUUUCUCUCGGUUUUUUGGACAAGCUACAUUCCCUUCCACAGAGAAGGCUUCCCUGACCCCUUUCACUUGGUUGGAUUACCUUGCUAUUCUUUUCUAUCUUUGUACAUUCCUUUUCAAAAUACUUAUCUCCCUUGUUGUUACCUAUAAUGUCUGUCUUCUUUACUCAAGAGUCUAGACAAAAAGCUCCACGCCAGCCUCGGCUGUGUUUGUAUUGUUUACGUCUGUGUUCCUAGUGCUUAAUAAAAUACCUAGCAAGGGUUAAUAAGUACUUGUUGACUGGAAGGGAAUGACUUCCUUCCCUUACUAGAGAGUGAUUUCCUUACAGGCGAGAUGUGUCAACCUUCUAUAGCCCACAUAAAAUAAAGGACAAUAUCUCCUAUUGGAUAAAAGACAAGAAUUUACAUAUGAGUUUUGUCAUUUACCAUACCAGCUCUGGGAUCUUAACUUUUUAGCCUCUCUGGGCUUCAGAGCUCUCAUCUACAUUAAGUUUUUCAUUCAUUCUGUCAUUCAAUAAAUAUUUAUGGAAUGCUUAGCAUGUGCCACUAGUCUAGCAACUGUGGAUACUGAAGUACGCAAGGCAGAAUAGUACUUGCUAUCUGAAGCACACGGUUUAAUUGGGGUGGGGAAAGAGUUGGUGGGGAGGGUCUCAUUAAACAUAUAAGCCAAAUAAACCAAAAUUACAGGUAGAGUUAAGGCCAUGGCAGAGCAACUGAAGGUGAUGAAUUCAGAGAGGCCAGGAAGGGACCCUCUGAAGCGAUCAUAUCUGAACUGAGUUUUUGAGUCAACUAAAUGAGAUAGUGUCUGUGAAUGUCUUAGAAUCAUGUCUGGCAUGUAAUAAGUGUCAUAAAUGAUAAGUAUUACUAUUUAUAAAAACUUGUCAAAAAAUGAACCAAAAAUACAAGCAGCUUGUCUUUCACAUAUAAAAUACUAUAGUUGCAACAUGUAUAUGUCUUUGUAUAGUGAGAAAGCAUAUUGUAUGUAUAUUAUAUUUCAUUUGAGUAAGUUAUUUUUUAACUGAAGGAAUCUCCUAUUUUGGUUCUGAAAUAGUUAACGUUCCUUUUAAGUAGUCUCAUUUAUACCUUGAGAGUGAUUUAAUUACCCACAGCAUCUGUUUAACAUUGUACUCACAGAGAAAUCACAGAAACGUAUGCAACAUUGGUUGUUCCUAAGUAGAUUCAAUGUUCUCUAAGGUCUCAUUAACCUGUAAGUUCUCACAUGUUUGUUACAUCUGAGCUAAUGAAGAAAUAGCCAGGGGUAAGGAACUGAGAAAGAGACUAUGGCUGUCUCAACACAAACCCAUUCCAGGACUGUAAAAAAUAUCUGACAAGUCAUAUCUUCCCAGUGUGGUAGUAAAAUCACUGGAGUGUAUUGGAUGGUAUAAGCAACUGAAGAGGAUUAAGAAUGGCCUCUGUGGCUGGGCACAGAGGUUCACGCUUGUAAUCUCAGAACAUUGGGAGGCUUAGGUGGGAGAAUCACUUGAACUCAGGAGUCUGAGACCAGCUUGGGCAACAUAGGAAGACCCCCACCUCUACAAAAAAAAAUUAAAAAUUAGCUGGGUCUCGUGGUGCACGUCUGUGGUCCCAGCUACUCAAGAGGCUGAGGUGGGAG